This 352-nucleotide unclassified non-coding RNA is filed under the name soil metagenome. Its description in RNAcentral is "partial contains 5.8S ribosomal RNA, internal transcribed spacer 2, and large subunit ribosomal RNA". The stretch from base 1 to 120 matches the Rfam family "5.8S ribosomal RNA", at positions 35 to 154 of the family's 154-position model. The record is from RNAcentral.
GAUGAAGAACGUAGCGAAAUGCGAUAAGUAAUGUGAAUUGCAGAAUUCAGUGAAUCAUCGAAUCUUUGAACGCACAUUGCGCCCGCCAGUAUUCUGGCGGGCAUGCCUGUUCGAGCGUCAUUACAACCCUCAGGCCCCCGGGCCUGGCGUUGGGGAUCGGCGGAGCCCCCCGUGGGCACACGCCGUCCCCCAAAUGCAGUGGCGGUCCCGCCGCAGCUUCCAUCGCGUAGUAGCUAACACCUCGCGACUGGAGAGCGGCGCGGCCACGCCGUAAAACUCCCAACUCUUCUGAAGUUGACCUCGAAUCAGGUAGGAAUACCCGCUGAACUUAAGCAUAUCAAUAAGCGGAGGA